UACAGAGGUCUCAAGCGUUGUUCGGAUUCAUUGGGCGUAAAGAGCGUGUAGGCGGCCAGAUAAGUCCGGUGUGAAAGUCACAGGCUCAACCUGUGAAUGCCGCUGGAAACUGUCUGGCUUGAGUCCGGAAGGGGCGAGUGGAAUUCCUGGUGUAGCGGUGAAAUGCGCAGAUAUCAGGAGGAACACCAAUGGCGAAGGCAGCUCGCUGGAACGGUACUGACGCUGAGGCGCGAAAGCGUGGGGAGCAAACAGG
RNAcentral lists this ribosomal RNA (253 nucleotides) under uncultured bacterium. Its description in RNAcentral is "partial 16S ribosomal RNA". It matches the Rfam family "Bacterial small subunit ribosomal RNA", at positions 524 to 776 of the family's 1533-position model. The record is from RNAcentral.